This 394-nucleotide non-coding RNA is filed under the name Nicotiana tabacum (common tobacco). Its description in RNAcentral is "Eukaryotic large subunit ribosomal RNA". It matches the Rfam family "Eukaryotic large subunit ribosomal RNA", at positions 2555 to 2984 of the family's 3401-position model. Lineage: Eukaryota; Viridiplantae; Streptophyta; Magnoliopsida; Solanales; Solanaceae. The record is from Rfam by way of RNAcentral.
UGUAUUGAUUUUAAAGAUUUGAAUAAGGAUUGCCCUAAAGAUUUGGCGGCACAUCUUUUAAAAGAUAACGCAGGUACCCUAAGAUGGCUCAACGAGAACGGAAAUCUCGUGCGGAACAGAAGGGUAAAAGGUCGUUUCAUAUUUUCAGUACAAAUAAUAACCAUGAAAGUGUGGCCUAACGAUCCUUUAGUCUUCGGAAUUUGAAGCUAGAGGUGUCAGAAAAUUUACCACAGGGCUAACUGGCUUGUGGCAGCCAAACGUUCAUAUCGAUGUUGCUUUUUUAUCCUUCGAUGUCGGCUCAUCCUAUCAUUGUGAAGCAAAAUUCACCAAGUGUUGGAUUGUUCAUCCACCGAUAGGGAAUGUGAGCUGGGUUUAGACCGUUAUGAGAUAGGUU